CGGGCAGAGAGAAGAAAACCCGAAAAUUAAAGAAGCCACGCAUGACAUCGCUGCUGCGAGUCUACGUCCCCUCUUUCCUCGCGCUACUUCCCUUCUCUCUCCCCGACAUUACACUCACACAGAGGUCUUGGUGGUGGUGGCGAAAGGGAGCGCGCACGACGGGUGGCGUCGAAGUCGAAGAGCUCCAAGAACAGCACGCGCACACCAUAUGUACGACCAGCUUGUAAAGGAGGGACCAUAGCAAGCGGACGCGGUGCAUCUACGCGUCAGAGGUGGGCCGAACGCCGAGUCACUGGCGGACAUACGAACGUCUUCUCCGCGAGUUCGCAGAUCCUGCCACUCACACGCACACACCACAGCAUGUACUGGAGCAUGCGGCGACUGCACAGCGUUGCCGUUGGCGGUGCAGCGCGUUGGCUGCGGAAGUGCGCUGCGGACGACUCUGCAGCAGCCGUGGCACCGCCCAAUCCUACCCCUGAGGCGGUGCCCUCGUCGUCUGUCGAUUCGGCCAGCGUCAUCCCUGGUGACUUUGCUUCUCUUACCGUGCGAGCGUACUUCAGGCAACCCCUUGUCGGCGUCGGUGUUCACCACUUCGCCGUCGGCCGAAUCAAGGAGCAGCUGUCGCACGACGAGUACAUCGUGGACAUGGAGGAGGUUCACCUGUCCCCGAUUGCCGAUGUGAGCACGCGAGUGUACGUGCGAGUCGGUCGCACGGCGACGAACGAAGACCGCAUCGCGGGCGGCAUUGUCGGACGCGUGAACAGCAAUGGUACUCUCGGCGUCCUAAUGGACAACAACAGUUUUGAGGCACAGGUGUCGCAGGACGACGUGAUUCUGGUGGAGGGGCGCUCCCGCUUCACGCGGGAGAAAGGAUACAAAGACAUGAUGGAGUGGUUUCGAAGCGCCGGUGUGCACCGCCGCGCUGAUCGCGAGCGGUUGUGCUUCUUGCUCUACCAGCGGGGCUGGCGUGUCGACAAACUAUACCUGCUGGAGCCGAGCGACGUUCACUGCAUGCAGUACUUGAGGAAGUCGGUGAGACAGAUGGUGCUGGAGAAGGCGGAGUGGCAGCGCGACCACCACGCAGAGAUGCGCGCGCUGCUGCGCGAGAGGGUGAAGGAGCGCGCGUGGCGCUACUUCAUUCAGAAGUACAGCGGCUUCGUCAGUGCGAACUGGGCCGGGCUCGGCGUCCUGUCCGUGUUCCUCUGGAACUACAAACGCUUCAGGCGUCAGCAGCGCUCGUUUCAGGUGAAGCAUGCCGUCAACACGCUCACCCACACAGACCACAGGCGCUCGAGCAGCCCGGCGGUGCCGCAGCAGUUCGUGGAGCGCGCGGCGGAGGAGAGAUGGACACGCCAAAUGCUCCGCCGGCUGAACAACACCCACCCGCGCAUCGCCGUGGUGACGGGGUUCCGCGGGUGCGGCAAGAGCUCGCUGCUGCGCUCGGCGGUGCGCAAGGAGCACAAACCCGCUCUCUUUGUCGAGGUGCGCGGGGUCGAGGACACGCUCACCUGCAUCGUGAAGGCGAUGAAGGUGCCGAAUCUCGAGUCGUGCGGGGACUACCUGGAGUUCAUUACAGAUACCUUUACCAAGGCAGCGAAGAUCAACGGUGAGCCACCCAUCUUGGUUGUCACGCUGCGAGAGGGAAGCGAGUUGUCGCGGGUGUACAACGAGUCCGUCGCACUCGCUUGUGAUCGCCGGCUAUGCCACCUCGUUUAUGAGGUGGCCUUGGAGUCACUGUCGAUUCCGAAUGUGCUUCUGCCACGGCUCGAUUUCUACUCGGUGCCGAACUUCAACGUUCGGCAGGCGCUCCAGUACACCGAACACACGGUGGACGCGGUGGCGAUGCAGCACUUCAUUGAAACGAUGGGGACGAACAGCAACGACAUUGACGAACUGCUGGCGGCCAUUCUGCACCGCAAAGUCUCGAUAGCGGAGUACACCGAGCAGAAGCUGCGGAGGGCGAUGCGGCAGGUCGAGACCGCUUGGGCCGGCUCCGAGAAGCUGAGGGCUGCACUGAAGAAGCUGGCUGAGGCGGACUGCUACGUCGGACAGGAGAAUGGCACCGACGCGCUGCGCGAUCCGGCGCUGAAGGAGAUGGUUUUGUACGACCCUGUGAGCGAUCGAUGGGUUUUUACCCACAAGGUCUACCACACCGCAGCGCGCUGCUGUCUAUAGUCCUCCGCAGAGCCGAGACACGACGCUGUUGAUGUGUCAAACGCGAUGGGCGCCACAUCCAUUCACGCGCUCAACGAAAAGCCACCUAAAACGGAGGAGGACAUGGCGAUCAGCGCAGAAGGAUGGAAGACGAUGCGGGGCGCUGACCGUGCAGGCGACCCCCCCCCUCGCGUACCUCUCCAUUGUGCCGCACCGCACACCCUCUUUGCUUUUCGGCAUGCUCCUCGCCUGCCUGCCCGGCCACGUGUACCGUGCUCGCAUCGCUAUGUGCCAGGAACUUAUCUGCGAUGCUGUGCGGAGUUGGGGGAGGGGGGCGUUUGGGCAAGAAUGAGGCAGGAGGGGCUGCUGCGCUGGCAGGCCGUGAUGAGACGUUCUUCUUGCCUCCUCCAGUCGCCCGUCACCACGUGUGUGCGUGUGCACGGCGUGCUCUCACACCUACUGUAACACCCCUUCAGCCCCUCUCGCCCACCCAUCUACCCCCGCUUGAGUCUUGCCAGGGGGUGGGUGUGCGCAGCGCGUCACGUUGACGUUAAGGGCAGGGGCUUGGAGGUGGGCGUCGAGGCAGAAGGGUACGUCCUCGGCGCAGGCUGCCUUUGUCUUCGUCGUCAUUCAGCUCCCCUCUUCCUCCCCUCCCCCCACGCGUCACUGCUGUCUCCACUCGACACUAUCCUCCCUCCCUCUCUAUCCUUCUCGCCACCCUUUUCUUCGAUCACUUUUAUCACGCCUUCCCUCUGUGUGCACACACGCGCGCUGCGUUCUCGGUACUCCCUCCCUCCCCCCUCUCCACAUCCGCCCUGCCCUGCCCCCUUCACGCCGCGCGUGGAACGUGCGUGGCGCGCCCCUCAG
RNAcentral lists this unclassified non-coding RNA (3021 nucleotides) under Leishmania donovani. RNAcentral's name for it is "gene:LdHU3.08.1010(CDS-product:tuzin_putative)". The record is from RNAcentral. Lineage: Eukaryota; Euglenozoa; Kinetoplastea; Trypanosomatida; Trypanosomatidae.